This 407-nucleotide ribosomal RNA is filed under the name uncultured bacterium. RNAcentral's name for it is "partial 16S ribosomal RNA". It matches the Rfam family "Bacterial small subunit ribosomal RNA", at positions 29 to 526 of the family's 1533-position model. The record is from RNAcentral.
AUUGAACGCUGGCGGCAGGCCUAACACAUGCAAGUCGAGCGGAGCGGCGGACGGGUGAGUAAUGCCUAGGAAUCUGCCUGGUAGUGGGGGAUAACGUCCGGAAACGGGCGCUAAUACCGCAUACUAUCAGAUGAGCCUAGGUCGGAUUAGCUAGUUGGUGGGGUAAAGGCCUACCAAGGCGACGAUCCGUACCUGGUCUGAGAGGAUGAUCAGUCACAUGGGAACUGGAAACCGGUCCAGACUCCUACGGGGGGCAGCAGAGGGGAAUAUUGGACAAGGGGCGAAAGCCUGAUGCGGACAGGCCGCGUGUGUGAAGAGGGUCUUCGGAUGUAAAGGCACGUUAAGUUGGGAGGCGUUACCAACAGAAUAAGCACCGGCUAACUUCGUGCCAGCAGCCGCGGUAAUUC